This 272-nucleotide ribosomal RNA is filed under the name uncultured bacterium. RNAcentral's name for it is "partial 16S ribosomal RNA". It matches the Rfam family "Bacterial small subunit ribosomal RNA", at positions 84 to 354 of the family's 1533-position model. The record is from RNAcentral.
CCCGCCGGCGACCGGCGCACGGGUGAGUAACACGUAUGCAACCUGGCCGCCACAGGGGGAUAACCCGCGGAAACGCGGCCUAAUACCCCGUGACGCCACCGGAGGGCAUCCUCCGGUGGCCAAAGGAGCGAUCCGGUGGCGGAUGGGCAUGCGGCGCAUUAGCUAGACGGCGGGGUGACGGCCCACCGUGGCGACGAUGCGUAGGGGUUCUGAGAGGAAGGCCCCCCACACUGGGACUGAGGCACGGCCCAGACUCCUACGGGAGGCAGCAG